UUGUGCUUUCAGCUUCUUUACAGUGCUGCCUUGUUGCGUUCAUGUCAAGCAGCAUUGUACAGGGCUAUGAAAGAGCAG
This is a non-coding RNA of Opisthocomus hoazin, 78 nucleotides long. NCBI's taxonomy places the organism in Eukaryota, Metazoa, Chordata, Aves, Opisthocomiformes, Opisthocomidae. The record is from Rfam.